CGUCAUCACAGACGUACUCCGGAGAUAUCUUUGGGCUGGCCAAUCGCGUGUGGGGCAUCGGAGGUCCCUGGUUGGCGUGAACGCGUGCGCGACCGACCGAGCCGCCGUUCCCCAUCCCUCGAUUCCUCUCCCUCCCCUCGUCUUCCGCCGUCGCUGCCACCGGCGACCUCCCCACAGCAGCUGCCGCCACCGGCGACCUCCCCCACGGCUGAUGCUCCCACCCCUUCUAUCCUUCCUUUACCUUCCCUCACCAUCGACGACCUCCUCCCAUCCCCCCUGCCCCAAAUUGAGCAGCAGGCCCGGAUCCAACGCAGGCUCAGAUCCGGCACGCUCAUAACCCUGGUUCGUCCUGAGGACACUAUGGACAAGAUGCUCUGGGCCUAGUGAUGCAGCCAUGGACAAGGUUGUUGUGGCCAUGCCUAAAAUAGCCACUGGAUUAGAUUGUUAUUUUAACUAAUCCCUCUUCAGUCUCAGUCAUGUUCAAGACUCAUGUGGUCGUCGAUUACAAGGGUGUCUCAGGGGGUUAAAGAAGUUGUGUUCUUACAGAUUUGAGCUGAAAGUAAUUCAAAAUAGCUGAUUGUUUCUAUCUCCAUGGUUGUGAUGUCAAGGAUCAUGGAGACCAAGGUCACCACAUUCUGGUGCAUGUAGAAAAAUGACUAAGAUCCUUGUAUUUGGUUAUUUUUUGUACUUACUGGCCUAUAUAUUCAUUUCUACGUUGCUUUGCUGAAGUUGCUGCUGUUUUAAUUACAAUGUGUGUUUUGUUGGAGCAGGAGGCCGGAAGGGAUCUUAUACUACGAUGAGCGUUUUCUUCAAUCAUACCAAAAUGCAUGAAAAAUAUAGCUGUGGUUGUUGGCCUGAUUUAAAUGAGAAUUUAAAUAUUUCUUGCUUGGUUAUUCCAGUUAUGUUACAAUAUUUGAUUUUCGUAGCUCAGGAUGUCGAUUCACAUUGUCUUAAUUCCUGUAUGCUGGUUUCUUUCUACCCCUUGACAGGGAGAUCCAGGAAGGAGGUGACCGUCUCCCACGGCGUCGCAUCGUCAUGAGGAGGACGAAAGUGAGCAUGGUACCUUUGACAAAUCAAUCCUAUUUCCCCCCUUCUAUGCGACGCAGAUAGGUCACAUUGAUUCAACAAGUAUGUGCGAUUUGUUGUGCACAAAUUAAACAUUUAUUUAUGCAAAGGUUUGUUCUCUCAGUUUCCUCCAAGUCCAAGUUCAGUUUGAACUGUCUAAACAGGGAUUUACAGAUUGUAUAUUCUUUGCCCACUUGCUAUUUUUUUGCCAAUACCGUCAUUGUGAUUAGCAAAAGUAGGAUCGUAACCUUUUUAUAUGCUUGGUUACUCUUUAGAUUACGAUGUUGAAGACACAGCUUUACCUCUUCAACCAUCUGAACUAUGCUGCACCAGAACUGGUCCCUAGUGGUGAUUCUAAAGUAGGCUUUUCCUGUGACAUAUUUAGUUUUGGAUUGCCAUAAUAAUGUGAAAAUGGUAUCUGUUUUAAUCUGGCACAUGCUUUGUCAAAAUAUAAUGUAUUUAAUCUGGACUUCGCUCUACCUUUGACAUAUGCUACAGCUGCAUAUGCAGAAAACAUACUGACAUGUCCCCCUGUAAUUGCAGUAUAUGAAUUCAUUGACAUAUUUAACAAGUGAAGCCUUUUCUAAUAUUCCUACUCAUCUGGUGGUUGAUUUGCAAAAGAUGCUCUCAGUUGACAGCGGCGGCGGACAGCGCUGGGCGGCACGCCCAUCAGUGCCCGUGUGCCCCGACCGGUGCGGACUGCUUGUGUAGGGCCACAUCAGCUGGUUGCUCAAGCCUGCGUGUGGACUGCCCGCUAAGAUUGAUUUCCAGCUCAUCUCCAUGGGUUCCCUGAGGUGAGCGCGAUGCCGAGGAGAGAUGGCGUCGAGGACGACAUCUGAGGACAUCAUCACGCUCAUGGCUCCGCCGCCAUCGUCAUCGAGUUUUUUGGUUUCACAGCAAACAGGUGUGCGACGGGCCGGCAACCAGCGGCGCCAUCUCUAUCCCUGACACUAGAUAAUAGCGUGGCUAAUGGCCCGCGCGCGGCGCGCCUGUCUGUGCCCGUGCGCUCAGGCUGAUGCGGACUGCGACUGCGCGUAGGGCCGCCGCAGCUGCAUGCUCAAGGCGGCGUGCGGACUGCCUGGAUCUAAGACGACAUAUCACACUUCUGCCCGUCAUCCUAAUUUUGGUGCUUUUUUAGAGGUGUGGGAUUGGGCAGUGGUGAGCUUGGCUCUCAUAUCAGGUUGGGAAGCAGUCAAUGGGUGAUUACCGAACGUGUCGGAACUUCCAAGCAAAUGUCUCUCUGUGGCUAAAAUAAAUCUUAUUUCCCCUCAAGUUACUAAACUGCAAUGGGUAGUUGGUCGGUCGCUGUCAAUUGAAUGUGGGAAUUGAAAUGUCUUGCCGUUUUACAAUUCUUGUUUUGCUUCACAAUCUUCUCUGUUAAAUAGACUUGUUAGUAUCUAUGAAGCUACUACGCUUGCUUUGCUUUAUGAAUGAACACUUGUCUCCUGCAGUUUUUACCGUGUCUUA
Long non-coding RNA from Triticum dicoccoides, 2532 nucleotides. RefSeq lists it as uncharacterized. The transcript has 8 exons. NCBI's taxonomy places the organism in Eukaryota, Viridiplantae, Streptophyta, Magnoliopsida, Poales, Poaceae. The record is from RefSeq and is a predicted model, not a curated record.